Molecule: ribosomal RNA, 301 nt
Filed under: uncultured bacterium
Lineage: Bacteria
Description: partial 16S ribosomal RNA
Rfam family: Bacterial small subunit ribosomal RNA
Source: RNAcentral
CAGUCGCCGCGGUAAUACGCAGGUGGCAAGCGUUGUCCGGAAUUAUUGGGCGUAAAGGGCUCGCAGGCGGUUUCUUAAGUCUGAUGUGAAAGCCCCCGGCUCAACCGGGGAGGGUCAUUGGAAACUGGGAAACUUGAGUGCAGAAGAGGAGAGUGGAAUUCCACGUGUAGCGGUGAAAUGCGUAGAGAUGUGGAGGAACACCAAUGGCGAAGGCGACUCUCUGGUCUGUAACUGACGCUGAGGAGCGAAAGCGUGGGGAGCGAACAGGAUUAGAUACCCCAGUAGUCCCUGUCUCUUAUAC